This 207-nucleotide ribosomal RNA is filed under the name uncultured bacterium. Its description in RNAcentral is "partial 16S ribosomal RNA". It matches the Rfam family "Bacterial small subunit ribosomal RNA", at positions 568 to 774 of the family's 1533-position model. The record is from RNAcentral.
CGCGUAGGCGGCCCGAGAAGUCGGAUGUGAAAGCCCGGGGCUCAACCCCGGAACGGCAUUCGAAACUUUUGGGCUCGAGAACGGAAGAGGAGAGUGGAAUACCCAGUGUAGAGGUGAAAUUCGUAGAUAUUGGGUGGAACACCGGUGGCGAAAGCGGCUCUCUGGUCCGGAUCUGACGCUGAGGCGCGAAAGCGUGGGGAGCAAACA